GUCUAUGGCCAUGCCACCCUGAACAAGCCCGAUGUCUGAUCUCAGAAGCUAAGCAGGGUCGGGCCCGGUUAGUACUGGGAGACCAGCUAGGAAGACAAGGUGCUGUAGGCA
This 111-nucleotide ribosomal RNA is filed under the name Pteropus alecto (black flying fox). The record is from RNAcentral. Lineage: Eukaryota; Metazoa; Chordata; Mammalia; Chiroptera; Pteropodidae.